GUGUAUUUAUUGGCAGGCGCCCCUCUGUUUUGGACAUCCUGCCUACCUUUCAAGCUCACCAGGUACAUUCCAAGACUGGGAAGUGAGCCGGCGUUAAAAAUGUGGUCAAGAAAAGCUCAGUUGUGACUCUACAUACAUUCAGACAAAAUGGAGCGCUCACAAUUCCUUCUGUGUCAGGAUCUCAGAAUAUCUAAGAACACGAUCAUUUCCAAGAGGGAGCAAGUGUGUGUUGAGGGUUUCAUCCAACUGGCAUAGGGCAGGCACAGGACAACUAAUCAUUGGCCAUGAAACGUUUUCCAAAGGAGCAGAAUGGCCCAUCGCCCUCAAGAUGUUUGCUUGGGCUGCGCCCUACUGGCUUCCCCUGAGCAGAGCGGCACUGGAGAGGGAAUCGGGCUGUCAGGUGGGUUCCUCCUCAGAGGGGAACCACUAGCUGGCCUGCUUCCAGGGAGCUCCGUGGGCUUCCGGGCUCUGUUCACCAAACUGCAAUAAUGCCGAGA
Molecule: long non-coding RNA, 497 nt
Organism: Panthera uncia (snow leopard)
Lineage: Eukaryota; Metazoa; Chordata; Mammalia; Carnivora; Felidae
Exons: 2
Source: RefSeq, a predicted model, not a curated record